RNAcentral lists this long non-coding RNA (287 nucleotides) under Gallus gallus (chicken). The record is from RNAcentral. Lineage: Eukaryota; Metazoa; Chordata; Aves; Galliformes; Phasianidae.
AGUGCAAUGUGUGACACAACAGUGCUGAGUGUGACACAACAGUGCUGUGUGUGACACAACAGUGCUGAGUGUGACACAACAGUGCUGUGUGUGACACAACAGUGCAAUGUGUGACACAACAGUGCAAUGUGUGACACAACAGUGCUGAGUGUGACACAACAGUGCAAUGUGUGACACAACAGUGCUGAGUGUGACACAACAGUGCAAUUGUGAACACAACAGUGCUGAGUGUGACACAACAGUGCUGAGUGUGACACAACAGUGCAAUGUGUGACACAACAGUGCAA